AUAAAGUUUUAUUUUAGCUUAAAAAUUAUUAUUAAUUUAAUUUAUAUGUAAAUUUUUGUACGAAUUUUUAUUUAUUUUAAUAGUAAGUAAAUUAUAAAUUUUCAAUAAUUAGUAUUAUUAAUUAAAAAAAUUUAUAAAUAGUAAUAUAAAAAAGUAUUGGUUAAAUUUGUGCCAGCAGCCGCGGUUAUACAAAUAAUACAAAUAAUUUUUUUUAGUUUAUAGUUAAAUUAUUUAAUUUUAAAUAAAAAUUAAUUUAUUAAGUGAAAUUUUUAAGUUUAUUAUUUUUUUAAUUGUAAUAAAUUGAAACUAAAAAAUUUUAUAAAUAAACUAGGAUUAGAUACCCUAUUAUUUAAAAUAUAAAUUAAUAAACUUAGGUAGUAUUAGUUAUUUUCUUGAAACUUAAAAAAUUUGGCGGUAUUUUAGUCUAUUCAGAGGAACCUGUUUUUUAAUCGAUAAUCCGCGAUGGACCUUACUUUAAUUUGUUAACAGUUUAUAUACCGUCGUUAUUAGAAUAUUUUAUAAGAAUAUUAAUUUUCAUAAUUUUUUUAUAAUAAAAUAUAUCAGAUCAAGGUGUAGCUUAUGUUAAAGUAUUAAUGGGUUACAAUAAAAUUAUUUAUGUGAAUAUAAAUUUGAAAUAUUUAUUGAAAUUGGAUUUGAUAGUAAAAUUAUAAAGAUUAAUAAUUUGAUUUUAGCUCUAAAAUAUGUACAUAUUGCCCGUCACUCUUAUUAUAAGGUAAGAUAAGUCGUAACAUAGUAGAUGUACUGGAAAGUGUAUCUAGAAUACA
Molecule: non-coding RNA, 785 nt
Filed under: Drino sp. PH-2020
Lineage: Eukaryota; Metazoa; Arthropoda; Insecta; Diptera; Tachinidae
Source: RNAcentral